AUAAGAUCCCUUGAAGAACACAAGGUUGAUAGGUCAGAGGUGUAAGUGCAGCAAUGUAUUUAGCUAACUGAUACUAAUAGAUCGAAGGCUUGAUCAAAUUAUUUACU
RNAcentral lists this ribosomal RNA (107 nucleotides) under Clostridium tetani. Its description in RNAcentral is "partial 23S ribosomal RNA". It matches the Rfam family "Bacterial large subunit ribosomal RNA", at positions 2828 to 2925 of the family's 2925-position model. The record is from RNAcentral. Lineage: Bacteria; Bacillati; Bacillota; Clostridia; Eubacteriales; Clostridiaceae.